AUAAGUAAUGUGAAUUGCAGAAUUCAGUGAAUCAUCGAAUCUUUGAACGCACCUUGCGCUCUUUGGUAUUCCGAAGAGCAUGCCUGUUUGAGUGUCAUUAAAUUCUCAACCUACACUUGGUUUUACGACCGAGCUUGUAUGGAUUGGAUUUGGGAGCUGCUGGAAACUUAACAGUGUUCAGCUCUUCUUAAAAGUAUUAGCGGUGACUCUGGCGACCGUUACUUGGUGUGAUAAUUAUCUACGCCUUGUCUAAUGGGAGCCAUAAUAAUGGUCGCAGCUUCUAACUGUCUGUUAACUCAGACUGUUUGCUUGCAAACACUUUUUAAUCUUGACCUCAAAUCAGGUAGGACUACCCGCUGAACUUAAGCAUAUCAAUAAGCGGAGGAAAAGAAACUAACAAGGAUUCCCCUAGUAACUGCGAGUGAAGCGGGAAGAGCUCAAAUUUAAAAUCUGGCAGCCUCCGGUUGUCCGAGUUGUAAUUUAGAGAAGUAUUACCCGCGCUGGACCGUGUACAAGUCUCCUGGAAAGGAGCAUCAUAGAGGGUGAUAAUCCCGUCUUUGACACGGACUCCCAGGGCUUUGUGGUAUGCUCUCGAAGAGUCGAGUUGUUUGGGAAUGCAGCUCAAAAUGGGUGGUAAAUUCCAUCUAAAGCUAAAUAUAGGCGAGAGACCGAUAGCGAACAAGUACCGUGAGGGAAAGAUGAAAAGAACUUUGGAAAGAGAGUUAAACAGUACGUGAAAUUGCUGAAAGGGAAACGCUUGAAGUCAGUCGCGUCGGCUUGGAAUCAACCYUGCUCUUGCUUGGUGUACUUCCCAGCAGACGGGCCAACAUCAGUUUUGACCGCUUGAGAAAGGUUGAGGGAAUGUGGCAUCUUCGGAUGUGUUAUAGCCCUUAGUCAUAUACAGUGGUUGGGACUGAGGAACUCAGCACGCCGCAAGGCAGGGCUUCGGCCACUUACGUGCUUAGGAUGUUGGCAUAAUGGCUUUAAUCGACCNGUCUUGAAACACGGACCAAGGAGUCUAACAUACCUGCGAGUAUUUGGGUGGUAAACUCGGAUGCGCAAUGAAAGUGAAAGUUGAGAUCCUUGUCAUGGGGAGCAUCGACGCCCAUGCCUGAUCCACGGUGACGGCUAUGCGGUAGAGCAUGUAUGUUGGGACCCGAAAGAUGGUGAACUAUGCCUGAAUAGGGCGAAGCCAGAGGAAACUCUGGUGGAGGCUCGUAGCGAUUCUGACGUGCAAAUCGAUCGUCGAAUUUGGGUAUAGGGCGAAAGACUAAUCGACCAUCUAGUAGCU
This 1291-nucleotide ribosomal RNA is filed under the name Granulobasidium vellereum. RNAcentral's name for it is "eukaryotic LSU rRNA". The stretch from base 330 to 1291 matches the Rfam family "Eukaryotic large subunit ribosomal RNA", at positions 1 to 952 of the family's 3401-position model. Lineage: Eukaryota; Fungi; Basidiomycota; Agaricomycetes; Agaricales; Cyphellaceae. The record is from RNAcentral.